This 522-nucleotide long non-coding RNA is filed under the name Sarcophilus harrisii (Tasmanian devil). Its description in RNAcentral is "lncRNA (ENSSHAG00000032114.1)". Lineage: Eukaryota; Metazoa; Chordata; Mammalia; Dasyuromorphia; Dasyuridae. The record is from RNAcentral.
GGGGUUUAGGGCAGGGAAGCAGCUCAGGGCCUGAGAUCCUGCUCUUGGGCGUCUUAGGAGACAGUUCAUUUUAGGAAGUCUCAAGGGCUGGUUAAAAUGAGAACUCUUGGACCAGGAGAAAUCUCCUCGAGAGAGCUGGCUGGAAACUGGGGCUUCUGGACUUGAGAUCUCUCUCCCUCCUGCAAGGCAGCUCUGUGGGUGCAGGUCCCAGGCUCUCCUUCUGCAUUUCUACACGGAGACCAAGGCUGGUCUGAAAGACUCUCCAGAAAGCUGCCCAGCCCCAGGAAGGAGAUAACAAAGAAUCUGGACUUGGCUGUUCUCCUGGUGAUUACUGAACUGAAAAGAAGGCUGCCCCAAAGAGCUUCAGAAAACUGAACUGAGAGCAUUACAGGAAAAGAAGGAAACAACAUCUGUCGCGGUUAUAAUCAACCACUUUCAACAUCCUGCAGAGGACCAAGGCCUGGCCCAAGCAGGGAGCCUGGAGCCAGAGGAAUGGACCCUGAGGCUGCAGACCCCCACCCC